Molecule: ribosomal RNA, 291 nt
Filed under: Triticum aestivum (bread wheat)
Lineage: Eukaryota; Viridiplantae; Streptophyta; Magnoliopsida; Poales; Poaceae
Description: partial small subunit ribosomal RNA
Source: RNAcentral
AUGACCGGUGAGAAAACCAAUGGAAAGAACACAACUCUACCCAAAAACACUAAUGCACGAUUGGCGGGCCUCCAAGGGGGGUCGUGCCAUAGUCUCCUCUGUUGGAACUGCCGUGGGGCUGGCAGACCCGCGGCGGUUCGAGAGCUUUGUGACCUAACGAAGCAAUAUGCCCCCUUUGUACUUUGCAUCCUUGAGACUCAAAUAGAGGGAACGAGAGUUGAGAAUAUGGUUGGUUCUCUAGGUUUUAAUAAAAGCUUUGCUGUUAGUAGCUCGGGAGAAGUGGUGGUCUAG